Molecule: unclassified non-coding RNA, 262 nt
Filed under: plant metagenome
Description: partial contains 5.8S ribosomal RNA, internal transcribed spacer 2, and large subunit ribosomal RNA
Source: RNAcentral
UGCAGGAAUUAACGAGAUAAUUUUGCGGAAGCAACUAUCCAGUGUCUCGCUUCAACAGACCUCAGAUUGUUUACCACGAACAGUUUGAGGUGCGAUCCAAUAACAACCACUGUCAUGAGCAAUUACAACAAAUCAAGGAUUCAAUCGGCUAAAAACCAGCGUAGCAGCGAUCGCCUAACCCCCCUGGAUAUUUUUCGUUGGGUGUCAGAUUAACUGCUCCAGUUCUGGCUAAGACUGCUGGCAUUGAGGCACCCAAGUCAGC